RNAcentral lists this unclassified non-coding RNA (345 nucleotides) under soil metagenome. Its description in RNAcentral is "partial contains 5.8S ribosomal RNA, internal transcribed spacer 2, and large subunit ribosomal RNA". The stretch from base 1 to 120 matches the Rfam family "5.8S ribosomal RNA", at positions 35 to 154 of the family's 154-position model. The record is from RNAcentral.
GAUGAAGAACGCAGCGAAAUGCGAUACUUGGUGUGAAUUGCAGAAUUCAGUGAAUCAUCGAGUCUUUGAACGCACAUUGCGCCCCCUGGUAUUCCGGGGGGCAUGCCUGUCCGAGCGUCAUUGCUGCCCUCAAGCACGGCUUGUGUGUUGGGCCUCCGUCCUCCUCCCGGGGGACGGGCCCGAAAGGCAGCGGCGGCACCGCGUCCGAUCCUCGAGCGUAUGGGGCUUCGUCACCCGCUCUUGUAGGCCCGGCCGGCGCUUGCCGACACAUCAAUCUUUUUUCCAGGUUGACCUCGGAUCAGGUAGGGAUACCCGCUGAACUUAAGCAUAUCAAUAAGCGGAGGA